UGCAAAGAGUGGCGAACGGGUGAGUAACACGUGGGAAACCUACCUCUUAGCAGGGGAUAACAUUUGGAAACAGAUGCUAAUACCGUAUAACAAUGACAACCGCAUGGUUGUUAUUUAAAAGAUGGUUCUGCUAUCACUAAGAGAUGGUCCCGCGGUGCAUUAGCUAGUUGGUAAGGUAAUGGCUUACCAAGGCGAUGAUGCAUAGCCGAGUUGAGAGACUGAUCGGCCACAAUGGGACUGAGACACGGCCCAUACUCCUACGGGAGGCAGCAGUAGGGAAUCUUCCACAAUGGGCGAAAGCCUGAUGGAGCAACGCCGCGUGUGUGAUGAAGGGUUUCGGCUCGUAAAACACUGUUGUAAGAGAAGAAUGACAUUGAGAGUAACUGUUCAAUGUGUGACGGUAUCUUACCAGAAAGGAACGGCUAAAUACGUGCCAGCAGCCGCGGUAAUACGUAUGUUCCAAGCGUUAUCCGGA
RNAcentral lists this ribosomal RNA (475 nucleotides) under Weissella confusa. RNAcentral's name for it is "bacterial SSU rRNA". It matches the Rfam family "Bacterial small subunit ribosomal RNA", at positions 87 to 549 of the family's 1533-position model. The record is from RNAcentral. Lineage: Bacteria; Bacillati; Bacillota; Bacilli; Lactobacillales; Lactobacillaceae.